Telopea speciosissima is the source of this 465-nucleotide long non-coding RNA. RefSeq lists it as uncharacterized. Lineage: Eukaryota; Viridiplantae; Streptophyta; Magnoliopsida; Proteales; Proteaceae. The transcript has 2 exons. The record is from RefSeq and is a predicted model, not a curated record.
GUCUUGACGGUUUGUACGGCCAGUACUCCCAAAUAAUCCCACUGUGCAUUUACUAAAACACCUUCAACAAUUCCUUGUAUUUACAAAGAUGCCCUUGUAUUUACAUGAUUACCUAUCAAUGGGUGUUCUACUUCCUGGCCAGAUUGCUUCAGGGUGUUUCCGGUACUGGGUCUGCAGCUGAUCUGGACCCUUUAAACUGGCUCACAAUGCUGCCACCAAUACCGAUGCUUUAAAUUUUAAACUCUUGACUGGAAUGGAAUCUUUACCGGAGGAAGCAUAAACACAAUCCCUUCAAAUUAAAAGAAUAAUAAAAAUGAUGAAAUCGGGGUAUGAAAGUUUCAAAUUGAACAUUUCUCUCCCUUAUUUCACUUGUUCAGUUGUAAUUUUUGAUGAACUUGUUCUUUAAGAAAGAAAAUCUGUUCUGAGCAGAGAUUGGGCCUAGAUCAAAAUUGAGAUUCCAAACCA